UCUCGGUAGAAGUCGAGUGAUUUUUCUAGCACUCGCGCGAGGUCAGGAAUUGGUUGUAUCCACUUUGAUAACAGAAUGGUGAUGGUCUGUGGACACGGGUCCAUGGGGACGCGUGGUCUACGAGAGAAAAAUUGGAAUAAGGAUUAACGUGCGGAUACCUGUGUCAAGCGUUUGAAUGUACUAAACACAUGCCGAGAAAUAUGGUAAAUCGGUAAGCCUAGUACCUGAGUGAACCUGCCCGCAGACUUUACCCCUCACGCGACCUGAGACGUGGUCUCCCAUUCCGGUUAUGGUGGGUACAAGUGCGGUCACUGCAUGACGGCAGUCGGGGUCAGUGAGGCAUUGUACGCAAAGGCGGUGAGCCCUGAUCUGUUGCCAGGGAAUCGAUGGGGACGGUUGAUAUGUGUGGGGACGGAGUGCCUCGCCACGUCGUGUGUUUAGGUUUACCUUGCAAGGAUAAAAACUCGAUUCGAAUCGUCUGCUUCUCGCAGUUAAUGAGACUGCUUGAUCCAUUGUACUGCAUUGAGUAACAAGUGGAAAUAUGAUGAGUUGGUGUAAGAUGUUGAUUGCUAAUAAUGUUUGCUACUAUGUAUGAGUAGAUAGUACACAUUUAGCCUUAAGAGAGUCACACUUAUAUUGACAAAGCUAAAACUUGACUUAGAAACUCAGCUAGUGCUUUUGGCAACCAAACCCCACAGCCAAACAGCUGCAUGUCUAGAGGUAGAGGAGUAGACUCCUCACAUCGGUUAAGUCUAGCUGAGUAUUAGUAUACUCAGCCUUGCUUGUGGCAUAAUUUUACAGGUUCUCUGGAGGACAUGGUUGCUGGAGUGACUUGGCCGUCCAUCUUGCCACCGGGUUGGACUGUCGAGUGGGACCCUACCUCGGCUGAGGAGGAGCAUGAGGAGUGAUGGGACAGGCUUCCCCAUCUCUCUGUUUAUUUACCGUUAGUUUUAUUCCGCUGCACUUCGAACAAUGAUGACUACUUUUGCAAAACUCCGAUGGUGAUGUAAUAAUUUUAAUACUCUUACAUGCAUGGUUUUAUGCUUUAUUGUAUUUGCUUUGUGACUCACCAUCGAGUGAGAUUGUGGUACUUGAUCCUAUCAGUGGUCGUGUCGGACUAGAUCCGAGGGAUUGACGGGUUAUUCCCAUUUAAGUGUGGUCUAGCCUCUAAGGCGGGGCUUAGGCACUUAAGUUGGAAUAAUUCGGGUAGUUCCGCCACAGCUGGUAUCGGAGCUUGUACCACCACAGAGGAAUCAAUAAAAUAUAAAUACCAUCCUUUUCCGAAGUAAAACUUCAUACAAACAAUGUUGGAUAGAUCGUAGAACGAGCAGGAUAGACCUAGGACGUGAAGCCUUAGGAUGAUAGAAGGGUAGCUAGGUGGCUAAGUGAUUAGGCCCUACAGGCCACCUUAAAGGAUGGGAGUUCUUCCCUAUCCCCUUUUCAUUGAUGUGAGGUCGUUUAGGACGAGCAUGCGUGCAUUCUUAAUUAAGCGAAUGGAUAAUUGAGUAAAGACUUAAAAACAAAAUGAUGACCAACUAAGUAUCCUAAUACCAUUUCUAUAGUUGGAGAGAAGCUGAGUUUUAUUUUUCUUGUUCUUUUUAUAAUUCUUUUUCUUUUACUUACGCUUAACUGUACACAGAUGGCUUCCCACGGAUCCUCAGACGACGGAAAUGCACUGUCCCACACUGAUGGGCUUGCACGAGAGGGCUUUCCCCGCAUUUUGUGGGAGGUACUUCAGGGGGGCGGAUACACGACGCCUCCUCAGUACGCGGUGCAGCAGUUCGAGAAGCAUCGAGUGCCCUGCUGAAGGGUGAGGAUGACCCUGGAGCCUCAUCCCCUACAGCCAGGCUGGCGAUCAUUGGACUCUGAGUCUUUUGGAUACUGGGCUGAGGACACGAUCGAGGCGAUUGCUCUGCACGGGUUGACCACUUCCUGCGGAUUCCAUCCCUUGGAGCUGUCUACCCACCCCAUUGGCUUGUUCCCCGCGGAAAGGGAGGACGACCCAAUGUGGAAGGAUCGGGUGGAGCAUGCCAAGGACAUCUAGGCUAUCUACCCAGGUCAGACUGCGCACUUGACCGUACGGUGCAUGAAUGCUCUGUAUCGUCUGCAAGUGAUGCGCGAUGAGGCGAUGUCCCAUCUGAUGGCACUAUUGGAGGCGACAAAGAUCACUUUGGACAACAGAGAGGAGCUUGUGGUUUAUUUGUCCACUGAGAUGGUGGAAAAAGAUUUGCAGGUGGAGCAGCUAUCCAAUGAGAUCCAAGAGUUGGAGGAAUUAGUGGGUACCAGGGAGAACACCAUCGAGGUUCUCGAGGAUCAGCUCAUUAACACUCAGCAGCAGCUUGCUGAGGCUAAUGAGCACCUGGAUACGCAUCACUAGGAGAUCCAGGAUAUGGAGGCCAACGAGGACGUCGACAUCGAGGGAGGAGAGGAGCCUGCCUCUAGUGUGGACACUGCUGGCUCAGGGAGACCACCUUCCCCCGAGUCGAGUGUUGCCUCGUUCGCUCACUAGGUGUCCGGGAUAGAGUCAGAAGUCGGUGAUGGUAGGACUCCUCGCAGCUAGCUUAGCUUUUGCACCCUUGGGGUACUAGGCUAGAUAGAGUUGAGUCUUUUGGGGACCCUUGAUGUAAUCGUGAUAAACUCUUUUGGAAGCAUGGGUGAUGGAUGCUGUUAGUUUUAAAUUUGGAAGGAAAGUUUAUGCCUUUUGAAAUCCCUUUUUGUUUAUGUCGGAAUCUAUCAAUUCGCCUUUUGACUCUUUCGCCGCGAGUAAACCGUAAACUUGAAGAUGUGUUAUUAAGUAUAUAUGUGGUUUUUCAGAUGGCCGGGAGACAGCGUCGUGGCCAGAAUGAGCGCGUUCCUCCACCGCCACCACCGCCUCCCACUCUGCAGGAGCUAAUGGCUCAGUAGAAUGAGAUCUUGAGGCAGCUAGCUCAGCGUCAGCCACCACCUCAGCAUUAUGGUGGUGGGGACCAUCAGCGUCACCCCGCGGCAGCUACCUACCAGGAGUUCCUCAGUACCCAGCCUCCAUUGUUCACAAGGGCGGAGGACCCACUUGAUGCAGAUGUGUGGUUAAGAGUAGUGGAAUCCAAAUUCCCGCUACUCCAUGGAGCUUGUUCAGAGGUCACUAAAGUCAGGUUCGCCACCCAGCGGCUUCGGGGACCCGCAAGGACUUGGUGGGACCAUUUCCUUGCCAUGCAGCCAGAGGAUCGAGAGGUGGAAUGGAGAGAGUUCAAGGCAGCUUUCCGGGGACACCACAUACCAACCGGGAUUAUGGACCGAAUGCUCAACGAGUUUCUGGCACUCACUCAGGGCAACAAGACAGUGUUGCAGUAUGCUCAGGCUUUUAAUGACCUGUGCCAGUAUGCUGGGUAUCAUGCGGAUACGGACGAGAAGAAGAGAGACAGGUUCAGGAGGGGGCUCAGCACUAAGCUCCGUGACCGUCUCAACACCGUCAGGGCCAACAGCUACAAUGAGUUGGUCAACAUGGCCAUCUCCUAGGAGGACUGCAUCACAGCUCGUCAGGCCGAAAAGAAGAGGAAGACCCAUGUGGCAGGACCCUCAGCUCAGCCACAGCGCUUCAGGAUUGUGUCUGACACUCAGAGCAGGGGACCCCAGCAGCAGCAAGGGAGAUGGGUGAUCCGACCGCAGCAGCAGCAGCAGCAGGCACCCAACUGCACCCAGUUUCCAGCUCAGAGAAACAAUCAGCAGCAGUAGCAAUAUCGCCAGGCAAAUGACAAUAGGUGUUUCACAUGCGGCAACACCGGACACUAUGCCAAAAAUUGCCCCAGGAACCAGCAGAGGCAAGGGCAGAAUGUGAAUCAGAAUCAAGGUAAGAGACAGAAGGUGCAAGUGAGGCAGGGCAGGCUGAACUUCACCACCAUGGCUGAUAUUCUAGAGGGAGCACCCGUCAUGACUGGUAUCUUUACAGUUUUGAAUUAUCCUGCUAUUAUUCUUUUUGAUUCUGGUGCAUCGCAUAGUUUUAUCAGUGCCAAAUUUAGUGUCAAGUGCCAGUUGCCUUUUCACCACAUCAAUGGGGGUAUCACAAUUUCAACACCAAGAGCAGGGUUGCCACCUAUCAAGUCAACGGACAUGUGCCCAUAAAGUUUGGUAGUCUAAUAAUUAAAACCACCCUCCUCAUUUUGGGUUUGGAUAGCGUGGAUAUUAUAUUGGGAACUGACUGGUUAACCAGGCACCAAGCAGUUGCAGCUAGGGCCAUUGAGGUGCACUCACCAACUUGUGGUGAAACUACACUAUAUUUGCCCGACCAGGGUUGUACCCGUUCCUGUGCCUUCGUUAUGAUAGAAUCCCCAGUGGAAAGGAUCCCAGUGGUCUGUGACUACCCAGAUGUUUUUCCAGAGGAAUUGCCAGGGAUGCCGCCUAACCGAGACAUUGAUUUCGCCAUCGAAUUGCAACCUGGGACUGCUCCUAUCUCCAAGAGACCCUAUAGGAUGCCUCCUGCGGAAUUGGCAGAACUGAAAAAGCAAAUGCAAGAGUUGUUGGAAAAGGGGUUCAUUCGCCCAGGUACUUCACCAUGGGGAUGCCCAGCCUUAUUUGUGAAGAAGAAGGAUGAGAGCUUGAGGAUGUGUGUUGACUACCGCCCUCUCAAUGUGGUGACUAUCAAGAACAAAUACCCACUGCCCCGCAUUGAUGUUCUGUUCGAUCAGUUGGUAGGAGCCAAGGUAUUCUCCAAGAUAGAUCUUCGCUCAGGUUACCAUCAGAUCAAGAUCCGUGCCAGCGAUAUUCCCAAGACGGCCUUCUCAACCAGAUAUGGGCUUUAUGAGUUUUUGGUGAUGUCUUUUGGGUUGACCAAUGCCCCGGCUUAUUUCAUGUACCUGAUGAACUCAGUAUUUAUGCCAGAAUUGGACAAGUUCGUGGUCGUUUUUAUUGAUGAUAUUCUGGUUUAUUCCAAGAAUGAAGCCGAGCACACCAAACAUUUGCAUACUAUGCUUCAGAGACUGCGUGACCAUCAGUUGUAUGCUAAAUUGUCUAAAUGUGAAUUCUGGUUGAAGGAGAUUAAAUUCUUGGGUCACACAAUUUCUCAGGAUGGGAUAUCAGUUGAUCCUGAGAAGGUACAAGAGGUAAUGGAUUGGAAACCCCCGACUACAGUGAGGCAAAUUCGGAGUUUUCUGGGAUUGGCAGGGUAUUAUCGACGAUUUAUUCCGGAUUUCUCCAGAAUUGCCAAACCAAUGACUGAACUGUUAAAGAAGGGAGUCAGGUAUGAUUGGAGCCAAAAGGCCGAAGAUGCCUUUCAUACUUUGAGGCAGCAUUUGACAACAGCCCUAGGGCUGGCUCAACCUGAUAACACCAAGCCAUUUGAAGUUUAUUGUGAUGCUUCCGGUACUGGAUUGGGAUGUGUCUUGAUGCAAGAUAACAGAGUCAUUGCUUAUGCUUCCCGAGCACUCAGGCCCCAUGAGCAGAACUACCCUACACAUGAUCUGGAGUUGGCAGCUGUGGUUCAUGCUCUUAAGAUAUGGAGACACUACUUGAUGGGGGCUCACUGUAACAUUUACAUUGAUCACAAGAGCCUCAAAUACAUUUUCACUCAGGCAGAUCUGAACAUGAGGCAGAGGAGAUGGUUAGAAUUAAUCAAGGACUAUGAUUUGGAGGUGCAUUACCAUCCUGGCAAAGCCAAUGUUGUGGCAGAUGCCUUGAGCAGAAAGGCCCAGUGCAAUUGUAUGAGCAUGGAUGCAAGAGUUACCACCCUGUGCGAUGAAUUGUGCAAGCUGAAUCUGGAAGUUAUUUCUUCAGGUGACUUAAGUUAUAUCUCGGUAGAGCCCAUGUUGCAAGAGCAAAUAGUCAGGGCACAGAUUGAAGAUAAGGGUGUUCAGGUUAUCAAAGAAAUGAUCAAGCAGAAGGCAGAGAAAUACAAGUGUUUCCGUCAGGACAGUAAGGGAAUUUUAUGGUUUGGAGAUCGAUUGGUUGUUCCCAAGGACCCUGAGCUCAGAAAGAAGAUACUGGAUGAAGCUCACCUUUCCAAAUUCUCCAUGCACCCGGGUAGCAACAAGAUGUACCAUGAUCUUAGAUCCUUAUACUGGUGGACCAGGAUGAAGAGGGAAAUUGCCAAGUAUAUAUCCGAGUGUGACACCUGCCAGAGAAUCAAAUCUAGUCAUUUGAAGGCAGCAGGCCCUUUGCAACCCCUUCCCAUACCAUCUUUGAAAUGGGAGGACAUUUGCAUGGACUUUAUCGUGGGAUUGCCCAAUACCUCCGGACACCAUGAUUCUAUUUGGGUUAUUGUGGACAGAUUGACCAAGACUGCUCAUUUCUUACCAGUGCAUAUCACCCACAAGACAGAGAAGUAUGCAGAAAUUUAUGUUGAUCAAAUAGUGCGAUUGCAUGGUAUUCCAAAGACCAUUAUAUUUGACAGAGGAGCACUGUUUGUGGCACGCUUUUGGGAGCAGCUGCAAGAAUCACUUGGGACCCAAGUAAUACGAAGCUCAGCAUACCAUCCCCAAACAGAUGGCCAGACGGAGAGGGUAAAUCAGAUUUUGGAAGAUAUGUUAAGGGCCUAUGCACUACACUACGGAAAGGAUUGGGACAAAUGUCUUUCCUUGGCAGAGUUUUCUUACAAUAACAGCUACCAGUCCAGUCUAAAGAUGGCACCUUUCGAAGCUUUGUAUGGGAGAAGAUGUAGAACCCCGCUAAAUUGGUCUCAAGCAGGAGAAAGGGAAAUAUUUGUGCCAGAUUUGUUACUAGAGGCAGAGGAAAAGGUCAGGGUUAUUACAAAGAACUUAGAAGCUGCUCAGGCCAGGCAAAAGAGCUAUCAUGACAAGAGGCGGAAGCCUCUACAGUUUGAAGUGGGAGAUCAUGUUUAUCUUAGGGUAUCACCCACCAAGGGUGUCCAGAGAUUCAGAAUCAAGGGCAAGUUAGCUCCUCGCUACAUUGGACCCUACGAGAAAAAAGCAAGUUGUGGACCCGUAGCCUAUCAAUUGGAAUUGCCACCUCACAUGUCAGUAGUUCACAAUGUGUUCCAUGUAUCUCAGCUGCGGAAAUGUGUUCGCCUACCCACUGAAGUGCUACCGGAACCGGACAUUGAGAUAGAACCAGACUUGUCCUAUCAAGAGUACCCCGUCAAGGUAUUGGAUCAGAAAGAGAGAUCAACACGGGCAAGGUCAAUCUGAAUGUAUAAGGUUCAGUGGAGUCACCAUUCAGCAGAAGAAGCUACAUGGGAGACUGAGGAUUUUCUACGCUCCCGCUUCCCCGACUUUCUGCCCAAAGGAGUCGGUAUGUAACCCAAAACCCCCACCCCCACCUGCCCUUUGAAUACAAUUAUAAGGAAAACUUAGAUAACAAGGAUAGUCUAAGUUGUGGAUUUAGCUUAAAAAGGGCUUCCUUCUGAAGUUGCAAAGAGAAUGACAUUCGAAGAGCAGUUAGCAAGAGAAACUUAAGUAUAAGAAAGAGUAGCACACCACCGUGCCUUAGUAGCACCCCUCUAGAGGACUCUGCCUAAAAUCUCGGGACGAGAUUCCUUUAAGGGGGGAGGGCUGUAACACCUCAGGUGUUACCAUGGCUAGAGCACACCUUGGUACUAAGGACUGUGAUCACAUGUGGUAGAAACUUAAGGAGAACAUAAGAACCUUGGAGACCAUGUGUUAACCAAGAUUGCUAAUGACCUAAGAAGCAUCACUCAAGCUUUUGUGCACUUACUACCUUGGGCAAGAGGAGGGAAAACCCUAGACCUCUCUUGAACCCUAUCUUCCAAAACCAUGGUUGAGAGGGGGAGAGAAUAAGCAAUUGUGCAAACCCUGAGUUAAUCAUUAACCAAAUUUAAGUAACUUUUUAACCAGCAUAUGUGGGAAGGAAAUGUUGCAAAAAGACCCCUAGAGAAACCCCAAAUCCAUUCCCUAAGUGGAGAGAGAACUAGAGCUCUCUAUUUCUCUCUAAGUCAAAAACUACACCUACACUAAAGAUCAACCGUGUUCACCUUGAAGAUGGCACCAAAACCACCUAUGUUCUAUACCAAAAAUGUGGCAUACCACCUAGGGCACCCACUGGAAAAAGUUGAGCCCGAGACCUUGACAUUUGACAUGCCUUGGCAUGGUUUUUGUCGCGAGGUGGGCAGAGUGGCAUACCUGAUUUGGCGACCGAAGAUCUCCCUACCUAGGCCAUAUCUGCCAUGGCGACUCACGGAUGAGAGACAGCCCUAGGUGCCAGGAAAAGACUCGCGCCGGAUUUUUGCCAAGAUUCGCACGUUUGCGACUUGGGCGAGCUAUGGAACACGGGCAGAAGAAAAGCUCCACGUGUUCGACGCGCUCUGUGCACGCCAGAGCACGCCCGCGCGUGCCCCGCGUCGCGCCAAAGGCCAGCCGACGCCAUGGCCCGCGCCCGCGCCUAUAAAGCCCACUCAGGCGUCGACCACACUCUUCCGCGCACGCUCUAACCUCACCGGAGCUCAACUCACUGUCGUUUGCCCGUGCACGGCGUGUCCGCGGCCACCCGAGCCCCUGCAGCCGUAGACCAGCCAGCCCAGCCUUUCCCAACCCCGUCCAGCCCUUGGAGAAGAUUGAGCACACCUCGGUGAAACUCCCCGAGCGAGGAAUCGAAGUCUGCUUCACCGGAGAGGCCAGUCCACGGUCGCCGGAGUUCACAACCCCGCCGGAGUGCGUGGACCGGGUAAUCCGCUGAACCAUUUUCCGAUUCCUUGAGCACACAGUCUCUACAUCACCCCGUGAAGCUCACCGUGCCUUUGGAUUGAACCAGAUCGCCGUGAUUUGGCCGGCACACCCGCCACCGACGAGGACACCCGCAUGCGCACGUGGACCGAGCGAUUCCGGCCAUCCCCGCCGUCGAGCCGCACAUCGCUGUGACCGCCAGAGCCUCCCCGAGCCAACCCUGCCCCUCGCCGGACCUCCCUCGCCGCCGGUAAGCCGCGCCACUCUUUUAUUUCUUGCGGGUACUGUUUAAACCUAGGGAAGGACCGCGGGGGAGAAGGAAAGAAGUCUGGGGGGUUUUGUGAAAUGUCAGAGACUCAAAUGAAUAGUAGCGCGGGGGUAUAACUGAGAGAGUUAGUUUGGAAAUACCCCAGGGUCCUCGGUGUAAACUGCUUUUCUAGGAAACCUUUAUUAAAUCUGAUUUUAAAUUUGAACAGAACUUGAAUAAUUCAUAACUUCUGUUUUAUUCAUCCAAAUUUGGUCAAACCAAUUUUGUCAGACUUUAAAUAAGGUAAACUACUUAGGAAAAAUAUAAAACCCUUAUGUACCACAGAAAACUUUAGGGUUCUGAUUUAAUUUUUGUUUUGGCCAAAAGCUAGUUAAUAAGAAGAAAAAUAGUUACACUAUUUGACUAGGGUUAGGAAAAUUUUGAGAAGUUUAUAUCCACCUACUGACCUGUUAAAAAUGCUAAAACUCUCUGUCUACCCCAUUAAGUUAGUUUUUGCCAAUUAUUUCACAAUGUGCUUAAGGUUAAGAAAAUAGAAAAGAUGAUUUAAAUAAUGAACCAGAGGGCACCCUUAUUUUUGUUAGAGUACUUAUUCAAUGUAGUUUACUAGAAAAAUCUAUUAUACCUUGGUUUAGUAUGAAAUAAGUAGGAUCCUUUUUAUUUUAAGAAAACAAGGAAAACUUAGAAAAACCCUACAAAAAUAACCCCAAGGUGAAAACACCCCAACCCUUGGGAUAAUUAAUACUUUGUCAUUAAGAACUUAGGAAAAAUAUGAAAUCUGCUGUUUGACAUUUUUCAAAUAACAAUAUAGUAGAAAGUGCCUUUUGGCAUUUAACUUUAGAAAAUCACAACUAAAUGACCAUCCCUUAGCUUUCUGUGAUUUUUGGCACAGAAGCCUAUUAUUACUGUUAGAUGCCAACAAAAAUAACCCUUAGGGCAGAACCCAACUCUAAUUAAGAGGUGUAGUGCAAAGUGGCCCAUUUUACACAACUUUUGCUAUUUUUGUCUAAAGCAUAGCCUUUUUGUUUUAAACCUCAAAUUCCUAGAACAGGCUAUAAUGACCAAUGGCAACCCACUGUAAUUUUUACAGAAUUUUUGGAAAAUAUUAAACCACUGUCAUAGUUCAAAUCUACAUUAGAAACCUGUUGGGGACUUGUUCUCAAAUGCUAAGAGUUAAGAACAAGGCAACAUAAAAAGUGUUAAGUGUUAAAGUCCUUCGUCCCUCGAAGCAUUAUGUCCCCUUCGGGAAAUAAUGAGUCUGGGACGAAGGUCAUAAGAGAAAUACCUUCGCAAACAUAACAGAUAAUGACGAAGGAUUUAUAUAAAGCAUGAAAUAUAAUAUAAGCAUCAUCGCAGAAUCAUUUCUAUUUUAUUAACAUGGAAAAAUAGAAAUGAUUUCAAAUUACAAAUGUACCUUCGGUCCUGAGAGAAGGUAGAAAGUACAAGCGUGACGCAAAAGCAAAUGCCAAGUCAGCGUGAACAGUAUGGGAGUACUGUUCAUCUAUUUAUAGACGCGGGACGCAGCCCACGUAAAAUUACAUCCAUGUCCAUUACAUUUGUUAACGGCUUAUGGAAAUCUGUCGAGGCCCCCGAAGUCUUUUCAUCUUUAAGUCGGUUCCCCCUUCUGCCAUCGCGCCGAAGCUUCCCUGCGCACAGCUUCGGCUACACUCGACCUUCGUCUGGUUCAGGCUUCGUCCUGGCCGUGCUCCAUAUUCAUAAUUCUGGAUCCGAAAAUACCUGUUCACAUAAUCCACUCGGAAAACAUUGUCAAAUCAUGUUUUUGAGGACCUUCGGAGGACGAAGGCCCCCAACAGUAGCCCCUCGCAAUAUUAAUUUGUAAAUAAUAAAUUCAGAUUGCGAUAUGGACGAAGGCCUUGAGCCGAAGGUCCGAAAAAACACCUUCCCUUUGCUAGAAUAGCAACAUCUACUGACAAGCGGGGCCUUUCAAUUUUCAACGCCCUAGGCGUAUAAAUAAGAUCACAUCGCGAACUGAUUUGGUACGCACACUUGCCCUCUGCUUCGACCCACUAAAAUUUUUAGCUCCUGCGCACUAAGAUUUGCUGAUCUUUUAGCUUUGAAGCUUCGGCUUUUAAAAACAGUUUUUUAGCGCUUCCGAAGAUGUCUGAAGCUGCUAAGAAGGCUGCUGCUGAGAUGAAGCUGAGUCUUGAUGAAGAGAAGAACCUAGGGUUUCUUAUAGCGAUGUCGAAGUCCAACACAGAAAAGAUUACCAAGGAAAUUCUGGAGGGGUUGUCUGAAGAUACUGGUGACAGUGAAAGUUAUGAUAUAGACAGUAGUGGCGAAGACUCCGAAGAUCGCCCCUGGCGACCAAGCCAUUCAGUUUAUGGUAAAUCAACUAUCAAAGAGAAUCAUCUUGUUAAUAUGAGAGGAAGGUAUUUCCGGGAUCUGUCCAUUGUGAGGGCGGACGAAGGGGAAAAAACUUGUCCACACCCUGAAGAAAAUGAAGUUGUGGUGUACCGAAGCUUUUUGAAAGCUGGAUUGCGAUUCCCCUUGAGCAGCUUCGUCGUGGAGGUGUUGAAAAUCUUCGAAGUCUAUCUUCAUCAACUUACUCCCGAGGCAAUUAUAAGGUUAAACAUCUUCGUGUGGGCCGCGAGGAGCCAAGGUCUGAAGCCUGACGCAAGAAGCUUCUGUAAUGUUCAUGAAUUAUUAUAUGAAACAAAGCCUUGGGGCAAAGAACAGUACCAUAACAACUUUGGCUGCUACAGCUUCGUUUCUCGGUCCGGGGCAAGCUGUCCCGUACCAACCUUUCGGAAGAGAUGGCCCGGGGAUUGGAUGACAGAAUGGUUUUAUGUGAAGAAUGACUUAUCAGCACGAGAAGAUAUCAAAGGUAUAAUUAUGCGUCCUAUUUGGCAAAGCUUCGGCCUUCGGAGGCCGAAGGUUGAAAUGAACGAAGCCGCCGAAGAGUGCCAAAGAGCCUUCGGCAUUGUCUGUUCUUUUAUAGGAACAAGGGACUUAGUGCAAGAACAUAUCGCCUUCAGGGUGUGGCCGCUUGCUGAGAAAUGGGAAAUGCCACAAGAAACCAUAAAAGAGGCCGACGAAGGUGGGCUUGUGAGACUGAAGUACACCUUCAAAUUUGGAGAUAAAUUUAUUGAGCCAGAUGAUGAGUGGUUGAAAAGCAUUGACAAUUUAAGUGAUGAGCUACUCGGGACCUACUCGAAGGCCGAAGAUAAUGCAAUGUCAGCAGCCUUCGGAGGCCGAAAAAAGAAGAGACUGAAUCGGGUAUUUGAUGCCAUUGGGUUUGUCUACCCUGAUUACUGCUAUCCCAUUCGAAGGCAGAAGAGAAAAAACACAAUCUCUGCAAAAGAAGAAGCUGCAGCUGCUCCUAGCGAGCCAGAACCGAAAAGGAAAAAGAUAAAGGUUCUUACGCAUCGGCCGCGUUAUAUUGAACCAGCUUCGGUGCCUGAGUUCACCGGAGAAGCUUCUUCGGCCACCGAAGCUGAACAGCCAACCUUGCUGCCAGAAACUGCAGAGAUGGCCGAAGCACCAUCCACAGAAAAAAUGGAAGAAGCGAAAAAGCCGACUAAGGAAAAAACAUUAGAAGUUUUGAGUCCUGCAGUAAAUAUUGAAACAGCAAAAAACCAAAAGGGGCCAUCAGUGACCCCAAAAAGGAAAAGAAUGGUAAAUGUACUAGACGUCUUGGAGACAAUUAAUUCUUCAAGCACAAUUCCAAAAAAGAGUGUUGAAGUUGCUGAAGCUUCUACUGAAGCUUCGGCUCAACAAGCUGAAGCUGAAGCUGGGCCUUCAGAGCCCUACAAGAAGCAACCUUUUGAAGCCGAAGCAAUAAAAAUUCCAGAACCAGUAUUAGUUGAAGAAACUGACACCGCCAUCCCCGAAGCACCUGCCAGCAUGCGUGAUUACAUGAUACGACAUGCUUCGGGGAAGAAGCUAUCUGAAGAAGAAACUCAUGAAGCCAUCCAUUAUGCAAAGGAACUAAAAUAUCCGAAGGGGGCAGUAAUAUUCAAUGGAACGAAUGAAGAUGACUUCUUAUACUGCCUGCCUGACAACAAAGAGCUAUCUGUCUGCCGAGAAAUGGCCAGAAGUAUUGGUUUCCCGAAGCUUGAAUCUGGAUUAAGCGCCAUGACGAAAGAAGAUCUCGCAGACAGUCUUGCGUACAACAGCCUGAAGGUAUAGGAAUUAAACACUUGAAAAACCCCCUUAUUUUUACGCAACUCAUUCCUUUUUUCUUAUAUGAAUUCUUUUUCGUAUAGGGCCUGAUCCUAAGCAACGCACUAAGAGCCCAAAAGAGCGCCGAAGAUGAAAGCUAUGAAAUUGCGUUUAAUAAUUUACGCUCCGAAGUUAUCAGACUGAGAAACGAAGCUUUGGAAAAAGAUAAAAUUCUGCUUACACUGGUAGAUAAAGUGAAAAAAGACGAAGCUGCUUCAAAGGCCCAGGCCGAAGCUCAAAAACGCGAGAUUAAAGAUCUUCAGAAACAGCUGGCUAGAGCUAAAGAGGAGCGCGCGCUUGAGGAAACGAAACGAGAACUUAGUGAUUUUAUGGUCAGCAAAUUGGAAUCAAAAGUUAAGGAGCUUCGCACAUCUCAGAGGAAAUGCUAUGUCAAAUCUGUAGAAUGCGUGAAUAAAAUUAAAUCCAGCUUCGCCAGCGUAGGCGCCUUUUCCAGCGAAGAGAAUUUCUCUCGAGGCAAUCCCGAAGGUCCGCUGGAGUGGAUUAGCCACGAAGCAGAGGCCUUCGAAGAGAUUCUGAACAGUCGUGGCGACAUAUGCGCUUUUUCGGGCGCCAGAGGAAUUGCUUCUGUCUUAGAGAAGAAAGGUUGCGGGCAUGUAAAAUUUUUAGCUCAAUCCGAAGCUACCUUAUCUUCCGAAGACGUCAAGGACCCCUCGGCCGAAGCAAGCGUGGUUGGUGGCAAAUUUUUUACUGAUAUCUGGAACGACGGCGGCCGAGGAAUGGCGCAAGAGAUCAUCCAAAGAAGCGAAAAAGGCAUUCAUGACGCCAGAAAAGUGGCAGAAGCUGCCGAAAGGAGUACAGAGCCCGAAAGGCAAUUAGGUACCAAUUAGUCGCUCUUAUUGUGUUGUAAUUUUUAUUCCAAACUUUGCUCAAGGUUUGCAAAAGUAAUGAAGAAAUGUUCUCUUCCCUCAGAAACUGCUGGAUCAAAUGUCGACGAAGAAAUUAAACAAAUGGCCAAAACUAUCUUGGACAAGGUUGUUGACCAAUUUCUAAAUGAGGCCGCCGAAGAAGUAUUGAGAGAAGAUUAGAUGCUAUUUGGAAAAAUCAUUUAAAAUGUAAUCUAUGUAACACUUUGUACAUUUGAAUGUAAUAUACAAAUCUCCUUUCAUUAUUGAAUUCUUUACGAUGCAUGAAACAUUAAAUACAUACCAUUUUUGAGCCUUUGGCGAAAAAACACCUUCCCUUCUUUUCAUGCUUCGUGAAGAAGGCAUUCUCCGUUAAAAUUAUUCUGAUGAAUCACAUCCAUGCUUCGUCAAAACAUUCUUCGAAGCUAAACUCCGAAGCUACACAACUUCGAUAUUGAUCUGAUAAAGCUCGCCCAUGUUUCGUAAAAAUAUUCUCCGAAGCUGUAUUCCGAAGCUGUACAAUUUCGAUGUCACUUUCUCAAAGCAUCCUUUCGAAGGUUGAGAGUAUCUCCUUCUCUUGCCAAAUGCAACAUGAUGUAUGAUGCUUAUGCUAUGCAAAAUGAUGUGAUGAUGUUAUGUUAUGCAUGUGACAUUUGUUCCGGAGAUACACAUAAAAUAUAUUCGUAAGCUCUGCAUUCCCUUGGGAACGUCUUUGGAGCUUCUUCGUCUUUUACUUAGACGGUAUCAGCGUUGACUUUUCGCUGUAAGCCUCCCUUAGGAGCUUCUUCGCCUUUUACUUAGGCGGUAUCAGCGUUGACUUUUCGCUGUAGGCUCUGCAUUCCUUUAGGAACGACUUCUGAGCAGAAAACUUACACUGCGCUCCCUUUGGAACGGCUUUUUGUGACUUCAUAAACUUACUCUGCGUUCCUUAGAACGACUUUCUGUUACUCCGAAGGAUUUUUAAUCCGAAGGUCCUCCUUGGUAACGGAAAAAGUUUUAGGCUUCAGCAACUUAGGCCUGUGGAGCAAAUAGAUUUUCCUCGUGGGAAACAACGAAAUUAUUACAUGAAAACUAUCAAUGUUUUUUGCUUCACAGAAAAUAAAACUGAAUAGAAAAGACUGCUAUCAAAGGUAGGAUAUGUCAAUAAAUGUGCUUCGACUCUGGCACAGUGCUGUUGACUGUGCGAGCUUCGGACUGUUCUCUGAAGUCCCUCUGAUGUGGAGCGUAUUGACUCCCUUCUGGCUGUUGACCUUGCUGCAAUGGAGGUGGAGGCGGAAGCUGCUGCCAGGAAGCUUGAGGUUGACUUGCCGAAGCUACAGAAGCCGCAGGGUGGUUGUCUAUGUAUUGUGGGACAUAAGGCGGAUGAAACGAAGCAGUAUGCAUAACCUGCUUCGACUGAGCUUGUUGAGGUGCAGCUUCGGCUAGUUCCUUUUGCUUCUGGAUUGUAACAUGGCACGUCCUAGUGGUGUGGCCCUUGCCCUCUCCACAGAAUAGGCAAAACAGUCUCCUUGGCUGAUCUCCGAAUCUUCCGCCGAAGCCCCUGGCGCCUCUGCCUCUUGGAGCUGGUGGCCGAAAGAAAGUUUGUUGUUGCCCCGAAGCCUGUGAGGAGCACUGCGGCCUGUUUUGCUGACUCCCCUUAUCAUCAUUCUGAGUGUUGUGAAUGGAACGGACAUGCCUCGGGUAGUAUCUUCCUCCGAAGCCCCUGGUCAUCUCAGAAAAUCUGAAGGCCUCCUCCCUUCUUUGGCGAAAGUCAUUGUCAGCACGAAUGUACUCAUCCAUCUUUUGGAGCAAUUUCUCCAAGGUCUGAGGAGGCUUCCGAGCAAAGUAUUGAGCUGCAGGUCCAGGACGGAGCCCCUUGAUCAUGGCUUCGAUAACGAUUUCAUUGGGCACCGUUGGUGCCUGCGCCCUCAAUCGUAAGAACCUUCGGACAUACGCCUGAAGGUAUUCUUCGUGAUCCUGAAUACACUGGAAGAGGGCUUGAGCUGUAACCGGCUUCGUUUGAAAUCCUUGAAAGCUGGUCAGUAACAUAUCCUUCAGCUUCUGCCAUGAAGUGAUUGUUCCUGGCCGAAGGGAGGAAUACCAGGUCUGAGCAACAUUCCUGACGGCCAUGACGAAAGACUUCGCCAUGAUUGCAGCGUUGCCCCCGUACGAAGACACUGUUGCUUCGUAGCUCAUCAAGAAUUGCUUCGGGUCGGAGUGGCCGUCAAACAUGGGGAGCUGGGGUGGCUUAUAGGAUGGAGGCCAAGGUGUAGCCUGCAGCUCAGCAGACAGAGGAGAAGCAUCAUCAAAAACAAAAUUUCCCUGAUGGAAAUUAUCAUACCAGUCGUCUUCGUUGACGAAGCCCUCCUGAUGGAGGUCUUUCUGAUGAGGCCUUCUGUUCUGCUCAUCGUGAGUGAGAUGGCGAACUUCCUCAGAAGCUUCGUCAAUUUGCCUUUGCAACUCAGCUAGGCGGGCCAUCUUCUCCUUCUUCCUCUGCACUUGUUGAUGUAGCAUCUCCAUCUCUCUGAUUUCUUGGUCUAGCUCUUUUUCCUCAAGCGUCGGGCUAACAGCUUUUCUCUUCUGGCUUCUGGCCUCCCGAAGAGAGACGGUCUCCUGGUUGUGGUCCAGCGGUUGUAGUGCUGCAGCCUCAGCCGCUGAAGCUUUCUUCGGCGCCAUAGCGAAGGUCUAUAGCUUCCGAAGGUGUUCACGAAGACUCGAAGUGGAAGUGAGUUCACCGGAGGUGGGCGCCAAUGUUGGGGACUUGUUCUCAAAUGCUAAGAGUUAAGAACAAGGCAACAUAAAAAGUGUUAAGUGUUAAAGUCCUUCGUCCCUCGAAGCAUUAUGUCCCCUUCGGGAAAUAAUGAGUCUGGGACGAAGGUCAUAAGAGAAAUACCUUCGCAAACAUAACAGAUAAUGACGAAGGAUUUAUAUAAAGCAUGAAAUAUAAUAUAAGCAUCAUCGCAGAAUCAUUUCUAUUUUAUUAACAUGGAAAAAUAGAAAUGAUUUCAAAUUACAAAUGUACCUUCGGUCCUGAGAGAAGGUAGAAAGUACAAGCGUGACGCAAAAGCAAAUGCCAAGUCAGCGUGAACAGUAUGGGAGUACUGUUCAUCUAUUUAUAGACGCGGGACGCAGCCCACGUAAAAUUACAUCCAUGUCCAUUACAUUUGUUAACGGCUUAUGGAAAUCUGUCGAGGCCCCCGAAGUCUUUUCAUCUUUAAGUCGGUUCCCCCUUCUGCCAUCGCGCCGAAGCUUCCCUGCGCACAGCUUCGGCUACACUCGACCUUCGUCUGGUUCAGGCUUCGUCCUGGCCGUGCUCCAUAUUCAUAAUUCUGGAUCCGAAAAUACCUGUUCACAUAAUCCACUCGGAAAACAUUGUCAAAUCAUGUUUUUGAGGACCUUCGGAGGACGAAGGCCCCCAACAAAACCAUAAAUAUAAAAUAAAGAAAGGAAAAAAUGAAUAAGAGGAAAUUAGUGUCAUCCUAAAACCCAUUAUAACUUGUCCACUGAAAUAUAUAAAGGCAAUACCAAUUCCCUAUGCCUAUCCCUAGCAAAACCUAAACCUAGAAGUAAUAAGCAUAAACCAUUAAAAGCCACGUAUGACACAGAAACCCUAAGUCACUCAAUUAACUUAGUUUUUCUUCUCUUAGCAUAAUGUUAUUAAAUCCUGCAUAAUCAUGACAUACAUGUUCAUUGCAUUUCGAUAGACUGUAACCUUGCUGACGGAGAGUACAUCCUCAUGCCGGAGCAAGGAGCUGCUCAGGAGGUAGCCCCGGAUCCAGCACCCGAGUCUGCACCAGAGGAUCUGCCUGCCACAGCUUUGAAAGGCAAGCCCCGGUUUUAUGCAUAACCGUUAUAUAUGCUAUUUUACUGCACUUAAUGUUUGUAGGCUUGUAUUGUGCACUUAAGUGUAGGAGUUGACUGAAACCCUAGUUGCAUGAUCUCAGGAAUCCUUUUUGGAGAUGGAUACUAGUAUGCUAGGUCGAGUAGCUGCUCUGCUAAUUAGGGAUCUCGGUAGAAGUCGAGUAAUUUUUCUAGCACUCGCGCAAAGUCAGGAAUUGGUUGUAUCCACUUUGAUAACAGAAUGGUGAUGGUCUAUGGACACGGGUCCAUGGGGACGCGUGGUCUACGAGAGGAAAAUUGGAAUAAGGAUUAACAUGCGGAUACCUGUGUCAAGCGUUUGAAUGUACUAAACACAUGCCGAGAAAUAUGGUAAAUCGGUAAGCCUAGUACCUGAGUGAACCUGCCCGCAGACUUUACCCCUCACGCGACCUGAGACAUGGUCUCCCAUUCCGGUUAUGGUGGGUACAAGUGCGGUCACUGCACGACGGCAGUCGGGGUCAGUGAGGCAUUGUACGCCAAGGCGGUGAGCCCUG
This 18268-nucleotide long non-coding RNA is filed under the name Zea mays. Its description in RNAcentral is "long non-coding RNA (ZMAY_LNC003577)". Lineage: Eukaryota; Viridiplantae; Streptophyta; Magnoliopsida; Poales; Poaceae. The record is from RNAcentral.